RNAcentral lists this ribosomal RNA (534 nucleotides) under uncultured Geobacter sp. Its description in RNAcentral is "bacterial SSU rRNA". It matches the Rfam family "Bacterial small subunit ribosomal RNA", at positions 8 to 519 of the family's 1533-position model. Lineage: Bacteria; Pseudomonadati; Thermodesulfobacteriota; Desulfuromonadia; Geobacterales; Geobacteraceae. The record is from RNAcentral.
AGAGUUUGAUCCUGGCUCAGAACGAACGCUGGCGGCGUGCCUAACACAUGCAAGUCGAACGGAUUUGAGGGGCUUGCUCCUCAAGUUAGUGGCGCACGGGUGAGUAACGCGUAGAUAAUCUGCCUGAUGAUCCGGGAUAACACUUCGAAAGGGGUGCUAAUACCGGAUAAGCCCACGGGGUCUUUGGAUUCUGCGGGAAAAGGGGGGGACCUUCGGGCCUUCUGUCAUCAGAUGAGUCUGCGUACCAUUAGCUAGUUGGUAGGGUAAUGGCCUACCAAGGCUACGAUGGUUAGCUGGUUUGAGAGAAUGAUCAGCCACACUGGAACUGAGACACGGUCCAGACUCCUACGGGAGGCAGCAGUGGGGAAUUUUGCGCAAUGGGCGAAAGCCUGACGCAGCAACGCCGCGUGAGUGAUGAAGGCUUUCGGGUCGUAAAGCUCUGUCGAGGGGAAAGAAGUGUAUUGUGGCUAAUAUCCGCGAUACUUGACGGUACCCCUAAAGGAAGCACCGGCUAACUCCGUGCCAGCAGCCGCG